CCUACGGGAGGCAGCAGUGAGGAAUAUUGCACAAUGGGGGAAACCCUGAUGCAGCGACGCCGCGUGAGUGAAGAAGUAAUUCGUUAUGUAAAGCUCUAUCAGCAGGGAAGAAAAUGACGGUACCUGAGUAAGAAGCCCCGGCUAACUACGUGCCAGCAGCCGCGGUAAUACGUAGGGGGCAAGCGUGAUCCGGAUGUACGGGGUGUAAAGGGAGCGUAGACGGCAGUGCAAGUCUGGGGUGAAAGGCGGGGGCCCAACCCCCGGACUGCUCUGGAAACUGUACGGCUGGAGUGCAGGAGGGGUAAGUGGAAUUCCGAGUGUAGCGGUGAAAUGCGUAGAUAUGAGGAGGAACAACAGGGGCGAAGGCGGCUUACGGGACUGUAACUGACGUUGAGGCUCGAAAGCGUGGGGAGCAAACAGGAUUAGAUACCCGUAGUC
RNAcentral lists this ribosomal RNA (438 nucleotides) under uncultured bacterium. RNAcentral's name for it is "partial 16S ribosomal RNA". It matches the Rfam family "Bacterial small subunit ribosomal RNA", at positions 338 to 795 of the family's 1533-position model. The record is from RNAcentral.